AAAAGACAUCCUCCCUUUAUCCCUACCGUCUCCCUGACAGGUUUGCAUAUAGAACUGUUUGCACCAAGCGUUCAUUUCUUCCACAGGCAGCAAAGCCAGAACAACUUCCUAAUUAGCCCUGGAAUUGCCCCCAGGCAAGCUGCAGAUGAGUUGCCCUUGAAGUACAGCCCCAAGGACAGACGUGUUCAGAGGCAUCUCCUGCAGCUUUCGCACGAAAACAGAGCCAUCCAUCGGAAUGGUCAGCACCAGCCGUGGCGGAUCCAGGCCACCUAUAACCACAGCCUCAGCGUUUGUGUGCCCCUGGGGACCCGGCAGACGAGGAUUUCCUCUGCGCUUCUGCUCCUGGCCUGCUGUGGGGCUGUAGGAAGUCAUUUUGCAGCUGUCUGCCUCAGUUUCCCCCACACGCAGACUCUUGAUCCCCGCGCGAGGGAGGGAGGCAGCCAGCGCCGGUGCCUUGCUGCACAGCCCUGCCGAGAUCCCCACCAGUGCUUCCCCCAGCGAAUCCCCCCCGAGGCAAGCAGCAAGAAAAGUCCCCACCACCUGCAUUUUUGGGGCCAGGUAGGUGGGAGGAGGGGAUGUUCCUCCUCAGGCUCAGAGGACUCAUGAAAGCAAAGUAUUCAGGGCAUAAAGGGGGGAAAAUGUUCAAACAGCUCUGUUUGCCUUUCCUGAAAAUGAGGAGAUUCCUUCUUUUGUGUCUCGAAAAACAG
RNAcentral lists this long non-coding RNA (707 nucleotides) under Cairina moschata (Muscovy duck). RNAcentral's name for it is "domestica (muscovy Duck (domestic type)) lncRNA (ENSCMMG00000016979.1)". Lineage: Eukaryota; Metazoa; Chordata; Aves; Anseriformes; Anatidae. The record is from RNAcentral.